UUUUUUCCAUCAGACAGCAGAGCACUGGUAAACACCACGCAGAAAAGCCGUAUUGUGGGGUUACAAAGUCUAGGCUGUUUAAGGAGCUCUGUCAUUCCUUUUAAUGGAGCUCACUGACGCAGAUCUGGCUUCUGCCAGCCGAGGAAAUGUUGCUGCUGAGAAAAGGGUUAUUGAAACCCACAAACUAAAUAUUAUAAGCAAGAAUCAAACGGCGGGACAUUCUGGUGUGUAAUCCCUCCUGAUUGCAGGCGGAGGGAGGGGGGACAUGUUGAUAAGUGGCUGUGGGUGACAGAGGCCCCCGGCCUGGUGGGUGAAACGGGCUGGGGAAGGCAGCGUCUGCGGGGAGCACUGCCAGCACGGCCUCUCCGGAGGCUCACACCUGGACAGGUUGACUCUUGCAUGGAAGCAAGAAUCCCCUUUUUCUCUGGACGGAUUUGUAGUAACUUGCAAGAUAGACUUAAGGAGCCAGGACUGGAAUGCUAAGAAUUUUCUCUUUCAGAAAAAAAAAAGGGGGGGGGGGAGAGAAUUAAAAAGGCAACACUUCCCAGUUUUAAAACAAUGAUACAAUUACUAAAGAGGUUGGAAAACUCUAAAUCAACCCUCAGCCUACAGCUGUUUCCAAAGUGUUUGCUCUGACCUUUGGUAAUAGUGUCAAUUUUGCUGCAGAAAAUAUAUUGUGGACUAUAUAAUGUAUUUAAUUGCAAGAUGGCUUUUAAAUGGUCUCCUUUCCCCAGGCUAGCGAAAUGGCUGUGACCAGGGAAACGAGGCUGGACUGAAGCUUUGUUGUCCUGCCACGUUUUGUGAGGUUGCAACCGAGAUGAACGUUUUUAAAACACUCUUGCCCGAAGUGGCACCUUUAACCACAAGGGAAAACAAACAAACAAACAGCAGUGAAGGGAAGGGGAAAUGGCUCCCUAAACUACACCAAAGAGGAUGAGGUCUGAUCUCACAUGGAGCGGGAGGCCUCUGAGCUCCAGAGAGGCUGCUCACUACUUUAUAUUUAUCCUCAGGCUUCAUCAUUGGGACACUUCAGUCUCACCGAUGCUUUCUGCUAACAUCAGAAAAAGGGGGCUUAAUCAUCCAGCAAUGACUCCACUACAGUUAGAGAUUUCCCCCCCCAACACUACCAAAAAAAAAAAAAAGCUUUGAUUAUUGAGCAACAUGUAAAGCGUUAUUUCCAUACUAGUCUGGGUGACAUUUCCAUUUAGUUUCUAUAACUGUGAUUAAAGGCGAGAGAGGUUUCUAAACAUAUCUAGAGAUGCUGAGCCUCCUGGAGUAUAAAUAGCAUGCAUUUCAUAAUCUCGUGUUUAAACGUUUAUUUUAAAAUAACCCCCAUAUACAUUCCAGAGAAGUCUCCCUGCUAUAGGGCAUAGAUUGACCCUGGCUUUGCACAUAUUGUUUGCAAACUGGGGAAAUACUAUUGGGUAUUUGAAGCCGCCUUUAUUUUUCCUGUCUUGUUAAAAAAGAAAAAAGGGGGGGAAGUGUGGGGAGUCCUGUGCCAGUGCACCACUUGGAGAUAAGGAAAUUCUUGAGACACGUCUAGGCUCUCAGUGCAGAUCCAGAAGCAUAAAGGCAUAGUAUCUUAAUUGCCUUUGCUUGGACUUUAACUCGUGGCUGACGUCUCUAAUUACAUCCCUUACUCCUUCCUGCCAGUUGUAGCUUCUGCAACUGCUGAAAUUCUUAAGUUGUGUAGAAAUUGUCAAGCCGUGCUUUCCCCCCACCACUACUGGUGCAUUAGCAACGUCACUCGAUGUGUGAAUUGUAUGUUUCGACUGUACGCUCACCAGUGGGCUUGUCUUUGGGCCACUGGAGAAGUUAAAUUGUGUGUGUUAAGCAUAAGUCUUGUUUGAAAUAACAUCGAGGCUGAAGAGUGGAAAACACAUGGUAAACAUAAGCAAAAUAGAGACUGGACGGGAGUAGAUGGAAAGGUAAGGCAGAGCCUAGCUGCAUUUUUUUUUGUUCUCAGUCCAACUGGAUGUCUAGGUUGCAGGGAUUGCUGAGAAGCAGAGUGGCAGGGUUAAACGUGAGGGUUUGCCAAGGUAACAAGAAUACCAAAGUUUGAUAAAAACUCAUUCUGAGCUGCUUACAGCAAUCUCUGUGAACAUGGCCUCUUAAUUAGCGUGAGCAAAGGUUAAUACAAAUAAAUAACGUGGAAGAAAGAUUCCUGUUUGCUUCCAACAAGCAUCACAAAGGACAGGGAUAGGGAGGGGUUGGGGGAGACUGGAGAUUUUGUUUAUCAGUCCAUUAGAAAAACAAACAAUUAAUGGAGCUUCCCCUGUUCUCUUUUCUUUGGCAUGUCCUCGGUUUUCAGCUGCUUUGGGCAAGUCAGGCAACAUCAAAGGGGAUGCAGGGCUGCCUCACACCAGCAUGCCAAACGCCAGGGAUCUCUAAUGGCAAAAACCAGAUCAAUGUGGUAUGCAUAAAUUAGCCAGGAAUCCAUGAAUUAGGGGAUUGUCUCUCCAUUACACUCUUAUUUAAUCCACUGGAAAGCAGGCUGAGGAAAGAGAAGCUUAAAGUGUCAAAAUCAUGAACUGGUUUGGGAUGGCCUGGGAAUGAAGUUUCCUUCAUCUUCCUCUGGACUCUCAAGUGUUCCUACGUGAGGAAGGUGCUGGGGCAGGUUCACUGGGAGCAGGAUUGCAGAGGAAGAGCCUUGCUGGCAAAGCAGCCCCAAAGCUGGAGGUGCCUCAGCCCCUCCCUGGGGCCGCUGCUGUGCUCAGCCCCAGCUGAAGAUCGCGCCUUCCAGCCUAGGACAGAAAAGGUGCCAGGGAGGGGGCAGGAGGAGAACAAGCUGAACAAAACCAGCUAGGGCACAGCACGCGUGCGUCUCCAAACAGCGUCUGAUCUGUGUGCGUUAACGUGAAGUCAGUGCUGGAGAGCCAGCCCUGCAGAUCCUGUUUCGCUUUCUAAUUUUUGGUGUGUACUUAAUCCCGUGAUUUCCAAUGAAGGGAGGGAUAUUUUCAAACACUGGGCUCUCCAAGUAGGACAGCCCUGGAAAGGAAGUUCUCCGAGGGCUCGAUGCCUAUUACUAAGAGGUUCAAAAUACAACUAUCAAUUAACCAAAUAAAUAGUGCUUCCCAGCCCCUACCAGCUCAGGCAGCUAAUUGACUGAGUUUAUUAAUAAAGGAGAAAUUCACACGCAAGAAGAAGGUGAGAACUGGGGACAGAGGUACAGAAACCUGGGUAAAAUCCACACUGGUGUUACAGACGUCCUGGGAGAAAGGGACGGUGUCCCCAAACCGAUUCUGUGGGGCCAGAGGUUUACUGCUGCUGCACCCCAGCCUCCCAGGAGCACAGGGUGCUGCGAUGCACAGGGCAGUGCGCUGCUUUCUAACUUUUUACCCCUUCCCCAUUUGCAGGCAUGGAAUGAAGCUCCCUCCAGUCACCUGCCGCAAGACACAUUGUCCAGCUUCCUAACCUUAAGGAUGAGACCCUAUCAAUAUUGCCUCUGCUUUUGUGCUCAGGGUAGUAGUGCAAUAUUGCUUAUAGGGUCUUUUCUUUUGGGGGUAUUCUUCACGGAGAGAAGACAGCCACAGCAGGAAAAACUAAUCCUAUGUGCCCAUCGAGUUAAGGGGAAAGUUGUGAAAUAUCGAGCCUUGUUAGAUAGGCAAGUAAUGGUGCGGAGACGUUACUUGUGACAAAUAAUUGUGCUAUUGUGGUGACUCAGGUCCUGAGUAAUGGGUGUAUUUUCGAUGCUAUCGCACAGGAUUCAAAAUGGCCUUGUGUUUAAAAAGCUCACACGGUGACUGAAACUGGAGAAACCCAUCGUGUCUCCAUUUUAAAUAGCACGAGUCCCGAGAGGUUUGAAGGGUGCCUAUUUUACAUCACGCUGUAAACACCCACCGAGGGAUGGGAGGAGAUACAUAGCCACACUUGCUGUUUCCGCGCCUGAUCCCAGCCCGAAAACCAGCGCUGUGCGAAGCAGGGCGCCGCACAAAGGGGCCGGGGCUCUGUUCCCGCUGACCUCCCCGCGGCAAAGCUCUCGCCUCUGCCCGGCGAGCGUGGCCGGGCCCGCGGCUCGCAGCGGGGUCGGGCGGUGGAGCGGGGCUGGGCACGGCCCCCGGCCCUUCCCCAGAGCCGUUCCCGGAGGUACGUGGGAAAGGAGCAAGGGACGGGGGCGUUAAAUCUCUCCGCUUUGUGAGGGAUCAGCUGGGGGCUGACAGCAGCCGGGAUGGCCGAGUGGGUGGCCCUGCCUUCCAUUUCAGGUGGUCCCCGCGGUCCCUUUCGGGACCUCUGGGGCCCAGGGAAAGGGGUGGUGGGAGGGGACUUUGGGGCCAGAGCGGGGCUCGGCGGAGCAGCCGCUGCCUCUGCGGGGCUUCACAAGCCGCUCCCAGGGCGGUGUGGGGCUGCUACAGCACAGCCAGGCUCGGGGUGCUGCCGGGGCUGCACUCGCUGCUUGGGGCUUCCCCCCCUCAAACACCCACCCAGCAUCGCUGCGGGGGGAGGCAGCCAGCUCGGGGACAAAGCCAGGAAAUUCCUCCCCCCCCCCUCCACCCCUAAACCCAGGCUCUCCCUCUGUGCCCCCAGCCCAGCAGCAGGGCCAGCGCUGGGACCACCGGGCGGGCUGCCCCUCUUUCCCUGUUGCACUACUGUCACGGUCGCAGCGAGCAGUGCAAUAAUGAAAGGGCGUCAGUGCGCCGGGGAGCGGCGAGAGCCGGGGCCGAGCUGGUGACAGCGAGCAGGGCCGGGCCCCCCACCCAAGAGCUGUCUGACAGGGGGCCGGGGGGAGCCGGGAUCAAGACCCAUGGCCAGGGGGAGCUGGGCACAGGGGCAGGGCGAGGUGAGUGGCCCCGCACAAAUAAAGUGACUUCCCAUGUCCCUGUCGCUGCCUUUUCUUCCUCGGGGGGGUUUCUUGCAGGUCACCAGCCUCCCCAGCAGUGGCGCACAGAUGCAGAGCCCCCGCAACGUGGUUUUGUGGGGCCGGCCAGGCCUGUGCUUUGUGGGGAGAGGCCGAAGGCACUAAUAGGACCGGGGGUCUUCCUGCCCUGUGGAGCCCGAGAAGCAGGCGGGAGGCAUGCCCUGGUGCUGGGCUCAGCGGUGGGGUGGGAGGGAAGGGGCUGCAGUAAGGGAGAGCAGAUCGGUGCUCUGCAGCUGGGAAGGCCAGGAAAUAGCCCCGCGAUUAUUAGUGGCCAUGGCGAAAUGGAUCCUUCUAUAAAAGAGGGCCGGGGAGGGUUAUUUCCUUUAGCAAAGGACCUUUCCACUCUGGCCUUUUGAACCCGUGCUUCUCCCUGGCACUGUUUCUGCUUCAUCAUGACUUUUUGCAGAGGAAGGUGAGUGCAGAAAGCGGACCGGCUCGAGGCGAGGGCUGCAAUCUAAUCCUGAUGAAAAGGCUUUUACAGCCUAUGCUUCAUUUCCUAUUUCUUUUGGAUUCUCUCUUCCGCCUCUCACGUGCACAAGCAGAUAGAAAAGCCGAAUCCUUCCCUGCAGUCUCUCUCCCGGGGAAGAGUCAGCCCCCUCCCCAGCUUCACCUUCAGGCUGUGCACACACAAAAUGGCUGCAGCAGCCUGUGGGUGGGCAUGGAGAGCUCAGGAAGCCGCUUUUCUUUUUCCCACCCUGCCUGCCCAGGAAGCCCUUCUGCUUUUAUUUUCUGUGGCAUUUCGCUCUCGCAUAGCUCUGUGCAAAUCCAAGGGGGUCUCCUAUGUGUAAGCUAUGCAUGGAAUGGGAGCUGGGGAGGGAAACGGCCAGUUUGCAUGAGAAGGGGACCUGUCGGGCCCCAGUGUUUAUUUUUUUGCUGACCUUCUGGGGAUAUGGUCAGUGAGAGCUGUGACAGCUGCUGGAAGCGGCAGGGGCUUUGAAGAUUGUGAAGGUUGUGACCUCGAGGCCCCUUUCCUCUCUCUGUCCCAGGAGCUGCUGAGUCAAUCAGGGAAAAGGGGAGGUGAAACGGGGGCUGCUCUUUAGCCAUUUUUCAAUCGGUGAAUGAAACAGGAAAGGACAAAUGCAAGAAGAAAAAAGAGCGAUUACUUCCACUUUGGUGCAUUACUGAGAAGGGGGGAUAUCUCUUUGGCAAAAGAUUAUAACAAUAAUGGGAAACCACUGUGCUCCUGAGAUCCAGCACCUUGAAUAAAGGGGUUGACUGGGCAAGGAGCUGAUGGCAGAUCAAUAACGCUAAAUUAGGGGGAAAGCCUACAAACUCCUCAUGGUUCAAAGCAGGAGGAAAUCCACCUCUCAUUUCCACCUGAUACCAGCUCUAGAUGUAGGGGGGGAACCCGGGUACCACUAUCCUCCACCCCCUCCUGGACUUCACAGGACCACGGCUUCACCUUCGCUGAGCUCAGCUGAACGCUGUGGCUGUUGUAGGAGCCACUGAGGAGGGCUGCACCGCACACGCCAAAAUAAAGGGACAAAGUACAUUGUGCUGCAUCCCUGGGGUGUGCAUGCUUUCUAAGAGCAUGGGCUUGCUUAGAAAUCCACGCUCCGGGCAGCCCACGAGAGGGCUCUCAGCCCCCGAGUCCUCUCUAAGCCCAGAAAGUGGGGUUUAAGUCUUUUUCUCUUUCUGGAUAAUAUGAUCCUAUGGAUCUAUCCUUUAAAAUAGUAAUCAGAACAGCAAACACAGCGCCUGGCUUCGGUUGACCAAUACACAACAGAGGCAAAGAAGGCAAACAGCAGGCUUUUCAGUUAGUUUACACAGGGGGCACUUAAAUACUGUAUUGGUUACAUAAUACCAUUUGGGGGUUGGGGUUUUACACAUUCUUCUACUAAAUAUAUCUGUGAGAUUUGUUUUAAAGUGAUCAACAUAAAUCCAGCCACAGCUUUAAGGGGGAAAAUUCCUGUGAUUAGACUUAAUACCACUAGGUAGCUCACAGUGUAUUUACUGAAAACCAACACACAAUAGAUUUCCCCCCCCCCCCAGCCUCGCACUUUGCUGCAGUGGAGGGUGUUGCUCUCCUCUAGAAGGGCUGCCAUAGACAGCCACUUCCCCGCAGGAAGCACAGGCUGCUGGUUUUAGGGCCAUAUCCUGCUACUGUUCCACAUCCAGCCCUCAGGAUUCAUCCCAGCGCGGGCUGAAGGCAGGAUAUGGUCUGGCAAUCUUGACAAACUAAGUGCUAAGCGAGAGGGCGAGGCAUAUAAAAAAUAAAUAAAUAUCUGGGAGCCUUCUUGGCUGCGAUUGAUUAUAAAAGCACAAUUCACUGUGAACUCCUCCUGAGAAUCCCAUUCACAUGGGACACCUGAAGGUAUUUUCUCUUCCUGAUGAGCCUUCCAGUAGGCAUCCUGUUCCCAUCCAAAGGGAGUAGCAGGUGGCCAAACUGCCCCACUGGAGGCUUGACAAUGGCAUUAGCUGAAGCCUGGCUCAAUCUGUACACAACUCCUCAGGCUCCAGCUAAGCCCUUCCUGGGAACAGCAAGCGUCCCCGGGCAAGGCCCGGAUCUAGCAGCCCCGUGUCCUUGCGAGGCACCCUCUGCUCAGAAGUGAACAGAUGGGAAGAAGCGUCUCAAAGCAGCACAGCUUUAAAACCGUGCUCUUCUCUUCAGCGUGUUGUCACCAGCACCUCCGCGGGCAGAGAUCUCUGCCAUAAGGAGCGAGCAGAACGGCGGGUGGGUGGCUAAUUGAGAAGGGGAGUUCCUCGGGGGCAAACCCGAAGUCUUUGCGGGUGCACAGAACAAGGUACACUGCCUGCACUCAGCACCAAACUCCAGCUCAGUACAAAUCCUGCUUGCUGGCUCACCUGGGAUGUGGGUGCGCCUGGUCCUGUAAACCUCCUCAGGCACACAGUGACCGGGUGGUGGCAAUAAGCUGCUGUGCACGGUAUAAACUCAAACCUAACAGUCUGCAGGGGUGUAAUAAGGCAGUUACCUUAAAAGUCACCCUGCUACUACUACACCAAAUGGCAGACCUCUACCUCCCUCAAAAACUGAUCUGCUGAGAAGCACCACCUUUGCCAGGAGCUGCUACUUUACCAGCAGUUUAUCCAGUUACAACCAGUAGGGAGUGACACUGGGUACAAAGGCACACUGCGCUAGAAGACAAACUCUGCUUUGUCCCUCUGUGAAUCCCCAUCACAUUUCAGGAUAAGUUUGGGUUGACAACAGCUGGUUUUACACAACCCACCAGCAAUUCUGUUGCUUAAUUUUCCCUUUACAGCAGUUACACCUUUAACAUGAUCUAAAUAAUUUAAAGAGGGAGGAAGAAAAAAAAAAAAAAAAAAGGAAAGAAACAAAAGGCAGACUCUGCCCUGAGAAAAGCAGAAAAUGAAAGACUUCCAGACCUGAAGGAAAUGGGGAUCUCUCAACAGCCCUGGAGAAGCAGGGGAGGCCACCUCAUCUGUAAGCUAAGAGACACCGAGCACCAGUAAAGGAUUCCUCACUGCCAGCCCCCCACACCCUGACACCAAGCAAUUCAUUUAGGGCAUUUAUAGCAGCGUUUGGAGCAAGUCAGAGGGCAGUUUUGGCGUUCCCCUGUUGAAUCUCUGGUCAAAUUCUCUGAUCAAAAUCAACUUCUCCUUCCCCUCUUCACACACAGACAUCCACCCCACUAAACUACAGAAAGGUGAACGCUUGAAAAAAAAAGAAAAAAACAACAACAAAAAAAAACAAACCGAACCAACACAAAAAAGAACCCCCCCCCAAAACCACUACAGACACACCAGCAGCAGGAGAGCUUUUAAAUCGGGACGCGAGGCAGGUAGGGGUGGAAACCGGGUUAAUCCCGAACCGGGGCUCCCGCACCGCUUUCUGUUAUCCUGUACGAGGCAGCACCGGAGCCCCGUGCAGGUGGGGCGCAGCCAAACCCCGCAGCAUCCCCGCCGGCUGCCGCGGAGCCCCGCAGACCGCGGGGGGAGCGCAGAAAAGGGGCUCCUGUGGCUCUCGAAAGGAGCCCGCUGCCAGCCGGCCCCGGCGCUGGGUUCCUGCGGUGUUGCCCUAAGGGAAGGCGGCCAAGGCCGGGGACGGGGCGGUGCGGGGGGAGCUCCGGCCAAAGCCCCUCCUUGAGCGGUUUUGGUUCACCCGGGGGCACGCAAUAAAACGGGUGUAGGGAAGAGAGACCGCUCGCCAGGCGGUGCUGAGGCUAGGCACUGCCAGGCUUCCAGGCAUCCCUGCCCCAAACAUCCCCGAAACCCUCGCACAUCCCUCCCUGCCCCUACGCUCCUGAACGCUAAACCCAGCGGGGCGUAUCUGUUGGACCACCAGAGAGCAGAAAAUCCGUUCUAGCGUCAAGGUGCCUUUCUGGCAAGAGUGGGCAACUUUCCUAGGGAGAAGGGCACUAGAAAGCAGCCCAGAAGGAGCGCAGUCGAUUCUCAUCAUUAAUUUUCCUCCCCAAACGCCCUUUAACGCAGCGCCCCGCUCAGCACCAGCCCCCCCAGCGCGGCCGGGCAGCAUCCCGGCCCGCAGCCGUCGGAAGCGCCGCGGCCGGGGCUCGGCGGCGGGGGCUCAGCCAGGGGGGGUAGGGAAGGGCUGGGGACACGGAGCUCCCCCCGCCCGGCCCCCUCCAGGUCCCUGCUGAGCCCCACCGGGCUCAGAAAGCCUCUCUCCCCGGGGUACGUUAGGAACACUUGUUCUCCACCCCUAAAAGCCGCACGGGGAAGCUUCACGCCUCGGGGAGGGUCGGGUUUUCCUCCUUUUUCCCCCUUGCCCAGAAGCCCUGCAGGGGCUGCUGCCCGGUGAAGGCAGCUCCCCAAGGGCCGACCCGAGGCGCUUUCCCCCCCCAGGGGCUCGCAGCCCGGUGCCGGGGCACUGCUGGGACCUUUAAGCAAGGUCUCAGCUAACCGCAGCGAACAGCCUCCCGUCUCACAGGGAAACCCGCGGCCCCGCAGGAUGCAGGUAGAUUUUAACAUUUUACCCCAGAGACUGGAUUUGAAGCUCGACUGGGAGACCCCCUCCCCGCCCUGCUUCUUUUGUACGCGGUGCACCACAAACGGGCGUUUUGCUGCUCAGCUUUAGGGAAAAUUGCCCCCGGCUCGCCAGGAAUCGCCUCCGCACCCGCACCCAGGGAGGGCAGAGUUAAUGCACGCAGCAGGAUGAUUUCUGCAAGAGAGACAGCAGAUGGUGCUCCCUCGGGAGCAAUUUCGGGAGGAGCCUCGCUUUCUGCGCUUCCCAGUUUCUGCUCGAGCCGCGCAGGUUUGACGCUGCAGCAGCCUUUUGGCGACAGUCACCCGGCAGCCGUGUACAAAAAGCUGCUGGCACAAACCAAGAAUCCGUCCUCCUUGAGCAGGAGGGGAAGAUACAAGCGGAGCAGGUCGGCUGUUACACGAGUGCCUCGCCACUUGGCACCCCGCACCCCGGGAAUCCUCCGCAUCUAACCCAGUAACCGCGCCAGCCCAGUUUGGAACAAGCUGGGAACUGCUGGAAGCUCGCUACGGGGCGCUCCCCCGCAGUGCCAGCAGCCGGACAGGGCUGGAAACCCUCUCUGAAGCCCUCCAGCAGCAGCGGAACCCUUCAGGUGCGAGGACGGAGCAGUCACCUGGAUUCUGGUGUCGAGAACAAACCCUGAAGUGUAUAAAGGAUCCUACGGGUCUCCAUGGGGUGCCUACAGACCCAGGAACCAGUGGAAGGUAUUGGAGGAAAGUAACAACAUCAAAUACCGAUGAUUAAGCAUCACUGGAACAGGGGUUGGUCAUUUUUUUCCCCUUCUUUCAACUUUUUUUUUUUUUUUAAAUGAUUUAACUUAAUAAGAACAGAUAUACCCACUUAGCAUUCCCAAACGUAAUGGAAUAAAAAUGCUGGUUUAUCUUUAGCUUUGUCAUUCAGAAUUAAAGAUCAUCCCACAGUAAGUCUCUUCUGGCAAUUUAAAGCAGUGAAAGCAGUAACAGACCUCAUCUAUACUGACAAAGAAGGCAAAGUAUGUGGCAAGUGUCUGUAUGCUGAGCAGUUAGACAAACCUUUAAAAAAAAA
This is a long non-coding RNA of Anas platyrhynchos (mallard), 10820 nucleotides long. RefSeq lists it as uncharacterized. The record is from RefSeq and is a predicted model, not a curated record. Lineage: Eukaryota; Metazoa; Chordata; Aves; Anseriformes; Anatidae.